This 380-nucleotide ribosomal RNA is filed under the name uncultured bacterium. RNAcentral describes it as "bacterial SSU rRNA". It matches the Rfam family "Bacterial small subunit ribosomal RNA", at positions 30 to 412 of the family's 1533-position model. The record is from RNAcentral.
AUUGAACGCUGGCGGCAUGCCUUACACAUGCAAGUCGAACGGCAGCACGGGAGCAAUCCUGGUGGCGAGUGGCGAACGGGUGAGUAAUAUAUCGGAACGUGCCCAGUCGUGGGGAUAACGUAGCGAAAGCUACGCUAAUACCGCAUACGAUCUAUGGAUGAAAGCGGGGGAUCGCAAGACCUCGCGCGAUUGGAGCGGCCGAUAUCAGAUUAGGUAGUUGGUGAGGUAAAGGCUCACCAAGCCGACGAUCUGUAGCUGGUCUGAGAGGACGACCAGCCACACUGGGACUGAGACACGGCCCAGACUCCUACGGGAGGCAGCAGUGGGGAAUUUUGGACAAUGGCGCAAGCCUGAUCCAGCAAUGCCGCGUGCAGGAUGAA